UACGUAGGGCGCAAGCGUUGUCCGGAAUUAUUGGGCGUAAAGAGCUCGUAGGCGGCUUGUCACGUCGGUUGUGAAAGCCCGGGGCUUAACCCCGGGUCUGCAGUCGAUACGGGCAGGCUAGAGUUCGGUAGGGGAGAUCGGAAUUCCUGGUGUAGCGGUGAAAUGCGCAGAUAUCAGGAGGAACACCGGUGGCGAAGGCGGAUCUCUGGGCCGACACUGACGCUGAGGCUCGAAAGCGUGGGGAGCGAACAGG
This 253-nucleotide ribosomal RNA is filed under the name uncultured bacterium. Its description in RNAcentral is "partial 16S ribosomal RNA". It matches the Rfam family "Bacterial small subunit ribosomal RNA", at positions 524 to 776 of the family's 1533-position model. The record is from RNAcentral.